Molecule: long non-coding RNA, 361 nt
Filed under: Ananas comosus (pineapple)
Lineage: Eukaryota; Viridiplantae; Streptophyta; Magnoliopsida; Poales; Bromeliaceae
Description: long non-coding RNA (ACOM_LNC015506)
Source: RNAcentral
AAAAAAAAAAAAGAAAAAAGAAGAAGUUAAAAUCUUUCUCAUGAAAUUUAGGUUCUGUUUGGAUGUAUAAAUAUUUUUUCUAUAUAAUCUCUUGAUUAAUUUAAAAAAUUUGUAUAUUUGAUUGAAAAGGAGUGUGAUCACAUAUUUAGAAUGAAACAUUAUAUUCAGAUUUUAAUUUUUUUUUCAGAAUAAGAUAAAUCACUUAAUAGCUGAAACAUGUUAUGUAACUUAUGUUACCAAAUCGUGGAUGGUAAAAUUUUUUAAAAGUAAAAAAUUAAACUUCUUACUUAUAAUAAUACUAAAAAAUUUUUUACACUGGGAUCACUUUAUUCCUACAUCUAAACAUGGCCUCAGAGAAGUA